AACGUAGGAGACAAACGUUAUCCGGAGUUACUGGGCGUAAAGGGCGUGUAGGUGGUUUCGUAAGUCUGGCGUGAAAUUUUUCGGCUUAACCGGGAAAGGUCGUCGGAUACUGCGGAGCUAGAGGACGGUAGAGGCGUGUGGAAUUCCGGGUGUAGCGGUGAAAUGCGUAGAUAUCAGGAGGAACACCGGUGGUGUAGACGGCUUUCUGGACCGUAACUGACGCUGAGACACGAAAGCGUGGGUAGCAAACAGG
This 253-nucleotide ribosomal RNA is filed under the name uncultured bacterium. Its description in RNAcentral is "partial 16S ribosomal RNA". It matches the Rfam family "Bacterial small subunit ribosomal RNA", at positions 524 to 776 of the family's 1533-position model. The record is from RNAcentral.